UAGAAAAAUGGGACUCGAACCCACACCAAAGAGAUCAAAACUCUCCGUACAGCCAAUUAUACUUCCUUCU
Molecule: transfer RNA, 70 nt
Filed under: Loxopholis parietalis
Lineage: Eukaryota; Metazoa; Chordata; Lepidosauria; Squamata; Gymnophthalmidae
Description: tRNA-Glu
Source: RNAcentral